AGUGAACGCUGGCGGUAGGCCUAACACAUGCAAGUCGAACGGCAGCACAGUAAGAGCUUGCUCUUACGGGUGGCGAGUGGCGGACGGGUGAGGAAUACAUCGGAAUCUACUUUUUCGUGGGGGAUAACGUAGGGAAACUUACGCUAAUACCCAUACGACCUACGGGUGAAAGCAGGGGAUCUUCGGACCUUGCGCGAUUGAAUGAGCCGAUGUCGGAUUAGCUAGUUGGCGGGGUAAAGGCCCACCAAGGCGACGAUCCGUAGCUGGUCUGAGAGGAUGAUCAGCCACACUGGAACUGAGACACGGUCCAGACUCCUACGGGAGGCAGCAGUGGGGAAUAUUGGACAAUGGGCGCAAGCCUGAUCCAGCCAUACCGCGUGGGUGAAGAAGGCCUUCGGGUUGUAAAGCCCUUUUGUUGGGAAAGAAAAGCAGCAGGUUAAUACCCCGCUGUUCUGACGGUACCCAAGGAAUAAGCACCGGCUAACCUCGUG
RNAcentral lists this ribosomal RNA (491 nucleotides) under uncultured bacterium. RNAcentral's name for it is "partial 16S ribosomal RNA". It matches the Rfam family "Bacterial small subunit ribosomal RNA", at positions 29 to 507 of the family's 1533-position model. The record is from RNAcentral.